Molecule: transfer RNA, 77 nt
Filed under: Eubacteriales bacterium
Lineage: Bacteria; Bacillati; Bacillota; Clostridia; Eubacteriales
Also listed under: 1 other name
Description: tRNA-Val
Rfam family: tRNA
About the family: Transfer RNA (tRNA) molecules are approximately 80 nucleotides in length.
Source: RNAcentral
GGAGGCAUAGCUCAGUUGGUUAGAGCGCAUGCUUGACAUGCAUGAGGUCGUUGGUUCGAAUCCAUCUGUCUCCACCA